RNAcentral lists this ribosomal RNA (377 nucleotides) under uncultured bacterium. Its description in RNAcentral is "bacterial SSU rRNA". It matches the Rfam family "Bacterial small subunit ribosomal RNA", at positions 521 to 896 of the family's 1533-position model. The record is from RNAcentral.
UAAUACGGAGGGGGCCAGCGUUGUUCGGAAUUAUUGGGCGUAAAGGGCGCGUAGGCGGCCGUUCAAGUCGAACGUGAAAUCCCUCGGCUCAACCGGGGAACUGCGUCCGAUACUGUGCGGCUUGAGUCCUGGAGAGGGUAGUGGAAUUCCCAGUGUAGCGGUGAAAUGCGUAGAUACUGGGAGGAACACCGGUGGCGAAGGCGGCUACCUGGACAGGUACUGACGCUGAGGCGCGAAAGCUAGGGGAGCAAACAGGAUUAGAUACCCUGGUAGUCCUAGCUGUAAACGAUGGGCACUUGGUGUUGCGGGUAUCGACCCCUGCAGUGCCGAAGCUAACGCAUUAAGUGCCCCGCCUGGGGAGUACGGUCGCAAGGCUG